Molecule: ribosomal RNA, 1192 nt
Filed under: Escherichia coli
Lineage: Bacteria; Pseudomonadati; Pseudomonadota; Gammaproteobacteria; Enterobacterales; Enterobacteriaceae
Description: partial 23S ribosomal RNA
Rfam family: Bacterial large subunit ribosomal RNA
Source: RNAcentral
AAUCUGUGUGACUGCGUACCUUUUGUAUAAUGGGUCAGCGACUUAUAUUCUGUAGCAAGGUUAACCGAAUAGGGGAGCCGAAGGGAAACCGAGUCUUAACUGGGCGUUAAGUUGCAGGGUAUAGACCCGAAACCCGGUGAUCUAGCCAUGGGCAGGUUGAAGGUUGGGUAACACUAACUGGAGGACCGAACCGACUAAUGUUGAAAAAUUAGCGGAUGACUUGUGGCUGGGGGUGAAAGGCCAAUCAAACCGGGAGAUAGCUGGUUCUCCCCGAAAGCUAUUUAGGUAGCGCCUCGUGAAUUCAUCUCCGGGGGUAGAGCACUGUUUCGGCAAGGGGGUCAUCCCGACUUACCAACCCGAUGCAAACUGCGAAUACCGGAGAAUGUUAUCACGGGAGACACACGGCGGGUGCUAACGUCCGUCGUGAAGAGGGAAACAACCCAGACCGCCAGCUAAGGUCCCAAAGUCAUGGUUAAGUGGGAAACGAUGUGGGAAGGCCCAGACAGCCAGGAUGUUGGCUUAGAAGCAGCCAUCAUUUAAAGAAAGCGUAAUAGCUCACUGGUCGAGUCGGCCUGCGCGGAAGAUGUAACGGGGCUAAACCAUGCACCGAAGCUGCGGCAGCGACGCUUAUGCGUUGUUGGGUAGGGGAGCGUUCUGUAAGCCUGCGAAGGUGUGCUGUGAGGCAUGCUGGAGGUAUCAGAAGUGCGAAUGCUGACAUAAGUAACGAUAAAGCGGGUGAAAAGCCCGCUCGCCGGAAGACCAAGGGUUCCUGUCCAACGUUAAUCGGGGCAGGGUGAGUCGACCCCUAAGGCGAGGCCGAAAGGCGUAGUCGAUGGGAAACAGGUUAAUAUUCCUGUACUUGGUGUUACUGCGAAGGGGGGACGGAGAAGGCUAUGUUGGCCGGGCGACGGUUGUCCCGGUUUAAGCGUGUAGGCUGGUUUUCCAGGCAAAUCCGGAAAAUCAAGGCUGAGGCGUGAUGACGAGGCACUACGGUGCUGAAGCAACAAAUGCCCUGCUUCCAGGAAAAGCCUCUAAGCAUCAGGUAACAUCAAAUCGUACCCCAAACCGACACAGGUGGUCAGGUAGAGAAUACCAAGGCGCUUGAGAGAACUCGGGUGAAGGAACUAGGCAAAAUGGUGCCGUAACUUCGGGAGAAGGCACGCUGAUAUGUAGGUGAAGUCCCUCGCGGAUG